Molecule: ribosomal RNA, 504 nt
Filed under: uncultured bacterium
Lineage: Bacteria
Description: bacterial SSU rRNA
Rfam family: Bacterial small subunit ribosomal RNA
Source: RNAcentral
CAGGGGGAUAACCCGGAGAAAUCCGGACUAAUACCGCAUGGUACUCUUUGCACAGAAGUGUGAAGAUUUAAAGAUGCGAAUCGGUUGCGGACGGUCAUGCGUUCCAUUAGCUAGUUGGCGGGGUAACGGCCCACCAAGGCGACGAUGGAUAGGGGUUCUGAGAGGAAGGUCCCCCACACUGGUACUGAGACACGGACCAGACUCCUACGGGAGGCAGCAGUGAGGAAUAUUGGUCAAUGGACGAGAGCCUGAACCAGCCAAGUCGCGUGAGGGAAGACGGCCCUAUGGGUUGUAAACCUCUUUUAGAUGGGAGUAAAGUGUUCUACGCGUAGGAUAUUGCAAGUACCAUCAGAAUAAGCAUCGGCUAAUUCCGUGCCAGCAGCCGCGGUAAUACGGAAGAUGCGAGCGUUAUCCGGAUUUAUUGGGUUUAAAGGGUGCGUAGGCGGGUGAUUAAGUCAGCGGUGAAAUGCGUCAGCUUGACUGGCGAACUGCCAUUGAAACUGG